AUGAAGUACAUGCACUGUCUUCGCGAAGGAUUGGAGCUCCCAGAGUUAGACCAAGGCAUUGCUUUUCCAGGGAUGGACUCUAUUGAGAAAGUUCUUGAGUUGGUGAAGAUUCUACAGUUAGAUGCUUACGAUGAUGGUAUUUUCAGUCAUGAAAAAGCGCAACAGCCAGAUGUAUGGCGUGCACGUGAUGAGUCAUUUGCUAGAAAGGAAAAGGAUACACACUGCAAAAAGAAACAUGGAAAAGGUGCACCUCCUCCUGAGGAUUCUUUUGUACCUAUGGAUGACGGUCUGUUUCAUAUGUUGAAUGUCAAUGGGAAGGUGGAGAGUUUAUUUACAGAGCAGCCCCCUGGUCCUGAACUGAAACUGGGUCAAGGGCAUGGGCGGUUUUCAAAUAAAGCAAAAGUUAGUUCUCCAAGCUGCUACGCUAGAAGGAAGAUGAGCACCCAAGGAUGGGACAACAAGAUUCUUCAUCUGAAAAGGUCUAUUUUGGAUAUGCCAAUGGACAAAUUGCUGCAUACCACCUUGGCGAGAAGACAAGUGCAAAUGCCCAUGAGGCUUCAUGUCAGCAUCAUAAAUACCUCAAAAAAUGAAAAGUUCUUUACAAAAACGACUACAUGGACAACCCAGAAGUGCUGUCCUUAUCGUUACCUCCCCAAAGACAAUAUAAAGGUUUUGGGUAUUGGAGGAACUGCGGAAUUUAUAGGUGAAAGAAUUAUACAAACCAGAAUGGUCAACAAAAGAAUGGCCAUGCUCAGGCCUUUGAUUCUCGGUAUGCACAUGGUGCAGACCUGCCCGCGGUGGCCAGGAAUGUUUCGAGCUGCUAACAGCAAAGGACACAAUGUUUUGCAUCGGUUUAUUCUAAGCCCGCAGAGUCCUGCACAAGGUGAAGUUGGGAGGUAA
Molecule: ribosomal RNA, 900 nt
Filed under: Triticum aestivum (bread wheat)
Lineage: Eukaryota; Viridiplantae; Streptophyta; Magnoliopsida; Poales; Poaceae
Description: partial small subunit ribosomal RNA
Source: RNAcentral